GACGGAGGGUGCGAGCGUUAAUCGGAAUUACUGGGCGUAAAGCGCAUGUAGGCGGCCGAACAAGUCAGGUGUGAAAUCCUCGGGCUUAACCUGGGAAGUGCACUUGAUACUGUCCGGCUAGAGUUUGGCAGAGGAAAGUAGAAUUCCCGGUGUAGCGGUGAAAUGCGUAGAUAUCGGGAGGAAUACCAGUGGCGAAGGUGGCUUUCUGGGCCAAUCCUGACUUUGAGGUGCGAAAGCGUGGGGAGCAAACAGG
Molecule: ribosomal RNA, 253 nt
Filed under: uncultured bacterium
Lineage: Bacteria
Description: partial 16S ribosomal RNA
Rfam family: Bacterial small subunit ribosomal RNA
Source: RNAcentral